AUAGCCCCACCUCACCGAGCUAUAGUCCUACAUCUCCGGCCUAUAGUCCUACGUCUCCGGUUUAUAGCCCUACCUCUCCAGCCUAUAGCCCUACCUCGCCAGCCUACAGCCCAACUUCGCCUGCUUAUAGCCCAACCUCGCCUUCUUAUAGCCCAACUUCACCUUCCUAUAGCCCUACAUCACCUUCCUAUAGCCCAACCUCACCUUCCUAUAGCCCAACCUCACCUUCAUACAGUCCCACUUCACCUGCUUAUAGCCCCACUUCUCCUGGUUAUAGCCCUACAUCGCCAAGCUAU
This 296-nucleotide long non-coding RNA is filed under the name Amborella trichopoda. Its description in RNAcentral is "long non-coding RNA (ATRI_LNC000571)". The record is from RNAcentral. Lineage: Eukaryota; Viridiplantae; Streptophyta; Magnoliopsida; Amborellales; Amborellaceae.